This 253-nucleotide ribosomal RNA is filed under the name uncultured bacterium. Its description in RNAcentral is "partial 16S ribosomal RNA". It matches the Rfam family "Bacterial small subunit ribosomal RNA", at positions 524 to 776 of the family's 1533-position model. The record is from RNAcentral.
UACGUAGGGUGCGAGCGUUGUCCGGAAUUACUGGGCGUAAAGAGCUCGUAGGUGGUUUGUCGCGUUGUCCGUGAAAACUCACAACUCAAUUGUGGGCGUGCGGGCGAUACGGGCAGACUGGAGUACUGCAGGGGAGACUGGAAUUCCUGGCGUAGCGGUGGAAUGCGUAGAUAUCAGGAGGAACACCGGUGGCGAAGGCGGGUCUCUGGGCAGUAACUGACGCUGAGGAGCGAAAGCGUGGGGAGCGAACAGG